AACCAGACUCCUACGGGAGGCAGCAGUGGGGAAUAUUGGGCAAUGGGCGCAAGCCUGACCCAGCAACGCCGCGUGAAGGAAGAAGGCUCUCGGGUUGUAAACUUCUUUUAUCAGGGACGAAGCAAGUGACGGUACCUGAUGAAUAAGCCACGGCUAACUACGUGCCAGCCGCCGCGGUAAUACGUAGGUGGCAAGCGUUAUCCGGAUUUACUGGGUGUAAAGGGCGUGUAGGCGGGAAAGCAAGUCAGAUGUGAAAACCCAGGGCCCAACCCUGGGACUGCAUUGGAAACUGUAUUGCUUGAGUACCGGAGAGGCAGGCGGAAUUCCUAGUGUAGCGGUGAAAUGCGUAGAUAUUAGGAGGAACACCAGUGGCGAAGGCGGCCUGCUGGACGGUAACUGACGCUGAGGCUCGAAAGCGUGGGGAGCAAACAGGAUUAGAUACCCUGGUA
Molecule: ribosomal RNA, 449 nt
Filed under: uncultured bacterium
Lineage: Bacteria
Description: bacterial SSU rRNA
Rfam family: Bacterial small subunit ribosomal RNA
Source: RNAcentral